CCUACGGGAGGCAGCAGUGAGGAAUAUUGGUCAAUGGGCGUAAGCCUGAACCAGCCAAGUCGCGUGAGGGAUGAAGGUUCUAUGGAUCGUAAACCUCUUUUAUAAGGGAAUAAAGUGUGGGACGUGUCCUAUUUUGUAUGUACCUUAUGAAUAAGGAUCGGCUAACUCCGUGCCAGCAGCCGCGGUAAUACGGAGGAUGCGAGCGUUAUCCGGAUUUAUUGGGUUUAAAGGGUGCGUAGGCGGGAUGCCAAGUCAGCGGUCAAAUACGGGGGCUCAACCUGCGUCCGCCGUUGAAACUGGCGGUCUUGAGUGGGCGAGAAGUACGCGGAAUGCGUGGUGUAGCGGUGAAAUGCAUAGAUAUCACGCAGAACCCCGAUUGCGAAGGUAGCGUACCGGCGCCCGACUGACGCUGAAGCACGAAAGCGUGGGUAUCGAACAGGAUUAGAUACCCUUGUAGUC
This 459-nucleotide ribosomal RNA is filed under the name uncultured bacterium. RNAcentral's name for it is "partial 16S ribosomal RNA". It matches the Rfam family "Bacterial small subunit ribosomal RNA", at positions 338 to 795 of the family's 1533-position model. The record is from RNAcentral.